CCCUUUUCCAGAAUAGACCUGCGCCGUUACAGAUCGGACCUGCUAAAAACAUCUGUUUUGGUUCUGAUUAUCAUGUUUGUCGCGCUGAAAUCAUGCGUUUUAACGCAUACGAGUUUAAAUUUCUGAUAAAUGGUUUUCUGAGCGUGCACAGCCAAAGCGCACGGACAGAAAGCGGCCACCACACAGCAUGUAAUAAUAGAUGUCAGGUUACCAUGGCAACGUCAUAUCCCAUCCUUGGACAAGUGUUUCAGUUUGCGAAUGAGAGGAAAUGGGAUCUUUACACCCAAUUUGAAGUGAAGGGCAGUGGGACGCGGUUUGCUUGUGUUAGUGUUUCCGAGAACACACACAUGCUGUAUUCUGGCAGUGUUCAGAGUUAAUCCCCACUCAGCCACGCUCCACGCUCACGCUGCAAGACGGCAAAUGUAACACAAAAACACGCUGGAAAAAGACAGGACGGUGUCUAUUAACACACGACUCUUUUAUCAAGAAUUCAUGGAUUAUUUCAGAUCUCUCUUUCUCCUUGAUUUGCUUCCAAAC
Cyprinus carpio carpio is the source of this 537-nucleotide long non-coding RNA. Lineage: Eukaryota; Metazoa; Chordata; Actinopteri; Cypriniformes; Cyprinidae. The record is from Ensembl.